UUAUGUUCCUUUCUGUCACAAGUACACUAAAAUUGGAAUGAUACAUCAAAGAUCAGCAUGGCCCCUGCAAAGAUAUGAUAUACAAAUGUGUGAAGCAGUUUAAUUUUGG
Hemiscyllium ocellatum (epaulette shark) is the source of this 109-nucleotide small nuclear RNA. Lineage: Eukaryota; Metazoa; Chordata; Chondrichthyes; Orectolobiformes; Hemiscylliidae. The record is from RefSeq and is a predicted model, not a curated record.